UACCGUGAGGGAAAGGUGAAAAGCACCCCGGAAGGGGAGUGAAACAGUUCCUGAAACCGUGUGCCUACAAGUAGUUAGAGCCCGUUAAUGGGUGAUAGCGUGCCUUUUGUAGAAUGAACCGGCGAGUUACGAUUUGUUGCAAGGUUAAGCGGAAAAAGCGGAGCCGUAGCGAAAGCGAGUCUGAAUAGGGCGCAUAAGUAACAGGUCGUAGACCCGAAACCAGGUGAUCUACCCAUGUCCAGGAUGAAGGUAAGGUAAUACUUACUGGAGGUCCGAACCCACGCACGUUGAAAAGUGCGGGGAUGAGGUGUGGGUAGCGGAGAAAUUCCAAUCGAACUUGGAGAUAGCUGGUUCUCUCCGAAAUAGCUUUAGGGCUAGCCUCGAGGUAAAGAGUCAUGGAGGUAGAGCACUGUUUGGACUAGGGGCCCUUCUCGGGUUACCGAAUUCAGAUAAACUCCGAAUGCCAUGUACUUAUACUCGGGAGUCAGACUGCGAGUGAUAAGAUCCGUAGUCGAAAGGGAAACAGCCCAGACCACCAGUUAAGGUCCCCAAAUAUAUGUUAAGUGGAAAAGGAUGUGGGGUUGCUUAGACAACCAGGAUGUUGGCUUAGAAGCAGCCACCAUUGAAAGAGUGCGUAAUAGCUCACUGGUCGAGUGACCCCGCGCCGAAAAUGUACCGGGGCUAAACAUAUUACCGAAACUGUGGAUGAACCUCUUUAGAGGUUCGUGGUAGGAGAGCGUUCUAAGGGCGGUGAAGUCAGACCGGAAGGACUGGUGGAGCGCUUAGAAGUGAGAAUGCCGGUAUGAGUAGCGAAAGAAGGGUGAGAAUCCCUUCCACCGAAUAUCUAAGGUUUCCUGAGGAAGGCUCGUCCGCUCAGGGUUAGUCGGGACCUAAGCCGAGGCCGAUAGGCGUAGGCGAUGGACAACAGGUAGAGAUUCCUGUACCAGUGCUAAUUGUUUAACCGAUGGGGUGACACAGAAGGAUAGGGAAUCGCACGAAUGGAAAUGUGCGUCCAAGCAGUGAGUGUGAG
This 1030-nucleotide ribosomal RNA is filed under the name Listeria monocytogenes. RNAcentral describes it as "partial 23S ribosomal RNA". It matches the Rfam family "Bacterial large subunit ribosomal RNA", at positions 499 to 1529 of the family's 2925-position model. Lineage: Bacteria; Bacillati; Bacillota; Bacilli; Caryophanales; Listeriaceae. The record is from RNAcentral.